This 468-nucleotide ribosomal RNA is filed under the name uncultured bacterium. RNAcentral's name for it is "partial 16S ribosomal RNA". It matches the Rfam family "Bacterial small subunit ribosomal RNA", at positions 28 to 507 of the family's 1533-position model. The record is from RNAcentral.
GACGAACGCUGGCGGCGUGCUUAACACAUGCAAGUCGAACGGAAAGGCCCUGCUUUUGUGGGGUGCUCGAGUGGCGAACGGGUGAGUAACACGUGAGUAACCUGCCCUUGACUUUGGGAUAACUUCAGGAAACUGGGGCUAAUACCGGAUAGGAGCUCCUGCUGCAUGGCGGGGGUUGGAAAGUUUCGGCGGUUGGGGAUGGACUCGCGGCUUAUCAGCUUGUUGGUGGGGUAGUGGCUUACCAAGGCUUUGACGGGUAGCCGGCCUGAGAGGGUGACCGGCCACAUUGGGACUGAGAUACGGCCCAGACUCCUACGGGAGGCAGCAGUGGGGAAUAUUGCACAAUGGGCGGAAGCCUGAUGCAGCAACGCCGCGUGCGGGAUGACGGCCUUCGGGUUGUAAACCGCUUUCGCUUGUGACGAAGCGUGAGUGACGGUAAUGGGUAAAGAAGCACCGGCUAACUACGUG